UUGCCUUCAUGGACAGCCCUGAAACGGGGUCUAUCCGAUUACUCCUGCAGGCAUCUGCGGGGGUCGAAAGCUCCGGCGGUGAAGGAUGAGCCCGCGGCCUAUCAGCUUGUUGGUGAGGUAAUGGCUCACCAAGGCGACGACGGGUAGCCGGCCUGAGAGGGCGACCGGCCACACUGGGACUGAGACACGGCCCAGACUCCUACGGGAGGCAGCAGUGGGGAAUAUUGCACAAUGGGCGAAAGCCUGAUGCAGCGACGCCGCGUGAGGGAUGACGGCCUUCGGGUUGUAAACCUCUUUCAGCAGGGAAAAAGCGAAAGUGACGGUACCUUGCAAAAGAAGCCGCCCGGCUAACUACGUUGCCAGCAAGCCCGCCGGUUAAUUACGUCAGGGGCCGCCAAGCCCUUUGUKCCCGGAAAAUUUAUUUAGGGGCCGUUGAAAC
RNAcentral lists this ribosomal RNA (439 nucleotides) under bacterium A30. RNAcentral describes it as "bacterial SSU rRNA". The stretch from base 1 to 392 matches the Rfam family "Bacterial small subunit ribosomal RNA", at positions 127 to 535 of the family's 1533-position model. The record is from RNAcentral.